GUGAAUCAUCGAAUCUUUGAACGCAAAUUGCACUCCCUGGUAUUCCGGGGAGUAUGCCUGUUUGAGGGUCAUUAGAAUAAUAAAGCUAUGCUUGGCUCUUUGUUUUUGUGUCAUCUCUGCGGAAUUGAUCCGUCUUUCAAAUUUUAAUUCAUGUCAAAUGAUCUUGGAAUUCAGCAAUCCUUUACGAUUGAAGCGUAUUUAACGUCGAUUCUGAAGUAGAUUUCUCGAUUAUGGACCUUCU
Molecule: unclassified non-coding RNA, 241 nt
Filed under: Glomeraceae sp.
Lineage: Eukaryota; Fungi; Glomeromycota; Glomeromycetes; Glomerales; Glomeraceae
Description: partial contains 5.8S ribosomal RNA and internal transcribed spacer 2
Rfam family: 5.8S ribosomal RNA (bases 1-71)
Source: RNAcentral